CUGCUCCUCUGUACAAAAACCACCUCAUCACACAUUUUUCAUCUCUGUAUCACAGCUCACAGAGCCUUGCACCUGGAAUAAGCCAGUCGAACCAAUGUUGGUCUUUCGUCUGAUGAGGGGAGGUCCUUUCUGCCUUUAACGUCGAACCUCCCAUCACAAAAAGCAGCCUCAGACAUUCAGUGGCUGCUGUGGCAGCACUUCAUUUUAAGAAGAUCACUAUGACAACUCAAAUACUCAUUGCAUUUGUAGUCUCAUCUUUGUGGCUUCAAGUCCACUGCCAGGAUGUGACCCAGUACCCUGAAAUCAGAUGGAGCUAUUCGGAUAAAUCUGCGGAGAUGAACUGCAGCCACAAGAGAGAUGCAAGUCAUACCCAGAUGAACUGGUACAGGCAGCGUCCAGGGGAGACCAUGACCCUCAUUGUCUACACAACUUUCGGUGGACAGCCAGACUACGGUGGGGGCCCUCAAGCCAAAUACUCAGCCAUCAAAGAGACCAUAGAGAGCGGGGCUCUUACUGUGAAAGACUUGAAGCUUGAUGACAGCGGUGUGUAUUUUUGUGCUGUCAGCAAACACAGUGAUUUGAGAAGCUGA
Molecule: non-coding RNA, 590 nt
Organism: Chelmon rostratus (copperband butterflyfish)
Lineage: Eukaryota; Metazoa; Chordata; Actinopteri; Chaetodontiformes; Chaetodontidae
Source: the annotation of a RefSeq genome assembly